This is a long non-coding RNA of Coturnix japonica (Japanese quail), 925 nucleotides long. RefSeq lists it as uncharacterized. Lineage: Eukaryota; Metazoa; Chordata; Aves; Galliformes; Phasianidae. The record is from RefSeq and is a predicted model, not a curated record.
UUCAGCCACGGAGAAGUCGCCGUCGGAGCUCAGCUGUCUGUCCUUCCCCACUGCCUGCUCCUCCUGGCUCCUCUGCAAGGAAAGGCCGCCAGGAGAUAACGCUUCUCGGUGGUCUCCAAUAGGAAUGGGGCCGUAGCUCGGGGGCAUCCAACCUCGCCCCCCGCUUCGGCCACAUGGACGCAGUCACUCAGCUUCACCAGCCGCCGGCUGCUCUCACCCUUCCAAGGUUUAUCUGCACUCUCAAAGAACUCCAGGCGGGCGGUGGAACAAGGGGUUUCCCGGCAGAGCAACUCAUUGCAUCCUGCACAGGGAAGCGUGCAACCCCAGAGGAAGUUUUGCACCAAAAACAGGGGCUGCAAGUGGAACCUGCGGGACGCAGCAGCCAAAUGGCUGCACCUUUUGCAUGCUCCAAAUGCAACCCAUUUGCUCUGGGUGCUGAACGUCUCCUCCCUCCUUGCACAAGAGCAGCAGCCGCCGUCACCGAACUGCAGCACGCUCUGAAGCAACAGUGCAGGGGGGGGUUGCAUCACUUGGUGCAUGACCCCAUCCCGCUGCACUGAGCUGCAAUGGGGCUCUGGUUGCUCUGCAUGUUGCAUCCCAACACUGAAUCCUCCACCUUAAGGUGCUGCACAUCCCGUUGCAUGCAGCCCCCCAUGCAACCCCCAUGCAACCCUAGCAGGAAGCAACCCCAUGCAGCACCCUCACCUUGCCGAAGGUCUGUUGCAGCUGCAGGUGCAGCACGCCCUGCUUCACCACCGCCUCCUCCAUCCUGCAGCCCGGUGCAUCCAUCUGCAGCUGCCCCCCUGUCACCCAGUGUCCCCAGUCUGCACCGACGCCACGUGAUGUGCGGUUGGGUGCUGCUGUUUCCUCCCCCGUGCUGCGCUUCCUGCCUUGGUUUUGUUACCAUAAAGGGUGCACGGCUGCA